CUUCUCCAGUUAUUUUCCAACACAGGAAUCUCGCUAGGCAACGAGCUCUCAAGUGAACUAGUUUUGCAAAGGUCCUUGCUUCACCUUAUCGAACAGGACCUCCAGCUGUCUCUCGGUAGUCACCACGGGUGGUGUAGUCACCGCGGGUUGUAGCACUAAGUUCCCGGGUGACCCCGCCGAAGCCCUCCCCGCUGAGGGAGAUCUACCGGCCGCCUCAGCGGAGCCCGGGCUGAGGGCCGUGGAACCCCGGCCCCGCGGCUCCCCGCGAAGAAGGGUCUCCGCGCUCUCCGCAGCCUUUCCACGACCAGCCCCCACACCAGCAGCUCCAGAACGAGCACGGCAGCACCUAGCCCAGCGCCACACCGAGAGCCCCAAGCAACGGGGACAGCCGAAAACGCAGCUCUCUCUGGCAAGGAGAGGAGCCCGGCCGGCGGGAGCUGAAGGCAGGGCAUCCGCACAUGGCGGUAAAGACACCCCCGACCGCGCAGAGAGCCGCCGGCCGAGCAGUCGGCUGCCCACACCGCUGGCAACGCGCACGCAGCGGCUUCCAGGCAGAGAAGGGUGGAGUCACUUCAACAAUGCUAUUUUCUCAAAGUGAAAGCUGAGCAGAGCUGAGGUGACAUCCAUGACAGGAUUGCAACUGCGUGUUUUGGAUUUAACACAACACUCCUCCAGCUGCAGGCUAGCAGCAAAGUGAGUCGACUUUGGAUAAAGUCUCUACACUGCCCUUGUGAGAUCACACCUGGAAUACUGUGUCCGAUUUUGGGCUCCCCAGUUCAGGAGAGACAGAAGUCUGCUGGAAAGUCCAGCAGAGAGCCAUGAGGAUGACUGAUGGACUUGAGCAUCUCUCCUAUGGAGGGAGACUGAGAAACCUGGGGCUGUUUAGCCUAGAGAAGAGAAAGCUGAGAGGAGAUCUCAUCAAUGUCUAUAAAUAUCUGAGGGGUGGGUGUCAAGUGGAUGGAGCCAACCUCUUUUCAGUGGUCAGCAGCAACAAGACAAGGAGCAAUGGCUACUAACUGGAACACAGAAGCUUUCAGCUCAGCAUGAGGAGAAACUUCUUUCCAGAGUGACAAAGCCCUGGAACAGGCUGCUUGGAGAGGUUGUGGACUCUUCUUUCUCUGUGUCCUGGGUUAGGGUGGAUCCCUCCCCUGGUAGAAUGAACUCAUUACAACACAGAUUUUUGGAAAGUCAGGGGAAAAAUGAAAUUGUAUUUCUUAUAGUUUAAAUAUAACUAAAACAUCCAUAACAGAAUUUCCAACCUUUUUUAACAUACCUUUUACCCAGUUCCAAACCAUCUUAGCGAAAAAGGAGCACACAUGAUAUUGCACCUUGGUAAUAAAACACUGCUGAACCGAUAAGGUCAAAAUCAAAAUAAUAGUGGGCCAGAAUAUACAAAACAAAUUAAUUUUUCCUCGACUUCCUUAUCCUGAUUAUCAGUCAAAAAAACAAACCACGAUUGUGCCCCAUGUUUGGAAAAGCACCAAAACUAAUGUCCUGGGUUAGGGUGGAUCCCUCUCCUGGUAGAAUAAACUCACUACAACAUGAAUUUUUUGAAAGUCAGAAAAAUUUCUUAUAAAAAAUUCUUAUAGUUUAGCAUUUGUGCUAGUUUGAAGCAGGCUAGAAUGUUGUGGUGAGAAAAACUAGAUUACAGGCUGUAAAAGGAAAACAAUGGUGAUGUCUACUCAUAGCCUUGCUGAAAUGUAUAGGAACAAGAAAUAAAAACAUUAGAUAAUCACUCUCGCUCGGGCUGCUGGCUCAGCUGCAUCUCUCUAACCUCACCCUCCAUUUUGGGCUAAUCCACUUUGCUUCCUAACCUCUGGCCGAACCUCUUUUCUUCCUUGGGACUGAGGUAAGGUUGAGAGGGGUAGGGGGAAGGUGAAGGGGUGGUUCAGAGCCACUCCUGGGGGCUCAGGUUUUUGGGAGGGGAGUUGUGUUUCUGUAUUCCCUUUUUACCUUGUAUAUUUCUGUAUAUAACUGUAUAUACUGUAAAUAUCUGCUUAUAUAUUGUGUUAGUUGUAAAUACAAGC
Pogoniulus pusillus (Red-fronted tinkerbird) is the source of this 2027-nucleotide long non-coding RNA. RefSeq lists it as uncharacterized. The record is from RefSeq and is a predicted model, not a curated record. The transcript has 3 exons. Lineage: Eukaryota; Metazoa; Chordata; Aves; Piciformes; Lybiidae.